UUUGGGAGGUCGAAGCCGGUGAAUCACUUGAGCCCAGGAGUUUGAGACCAACCUGGGCAACAUAGUGAGACCUUGUCUCUACAAAAA
This is a microRNA precursor of Chlorocebus sabaeus (green monkey), 87 nucleotides long. NCBI's taxonomy places the organism in Eukaryota, Metazoa, Chordata, Mammalia, Primates, Cercopithecidae. The record is from Ensembl.